UUGCGGUUAAAAAGCUCGUAGUUGGAUCUCGGCAAGUAGAGGGCGGUAUGCUUCGUAGCAUUACUGCCCUAUUACUUGUAGUUUUGCCAGAGGUUCCUGGGUGCUCUUAAUCGAGUGUCUAGGGAUGCUGGCAGGUUUACUUUGAAAAAAUUAGAGUGCUCAAAGCAGGCUAUUACGCUUGAAUAUUCGUGCAUGGAAUAAUAAAAUAGGAAGUUGUUUCUAUUUUGUUGGUUUUCGGAAAUCGACUUAAUGAUUAAUAGGGACAGUCGGGGGCAUUUGUAUUCAAACGACAGAGGUGAAAUUCUUGGACCGUUUGAAGACAAACUACUGCGAAAGCAUUUGCCAAGAAUGUUUUCAUUAAUCAAGAACGAAAGUUAAAGGUUCGAAGGCGAUUAGAUACCGCCCUAGUUCUAACCAUAAACGAUGCCAGCUAGCGAUCUGAGGACGUUUUUUUUGUAGACUCCUCAGGAAGCUUCCGGGAAACCAAAGCGUGUGGGUUCCGGGGGAAGUAUGGUUGCAAAGCUGAAACUUAAAGGAAUUGACGGAAAGGCACCACCA
Molecule: ribosomal RNA, 558 nt
Filed under: uncultured marine eukaryote
Lineage: Eukaryota
Description: SSU rRNA
Rfam family: Eukaryotic small subunit ribosomal RNA
Source: RNAcentral